This 112-nucleotide non-coding RNA is filed under the name Pasteurella multocida. RNAcentral's name for it is "Lysine sequence". It matches the Rfam family "Lysine riboswitch aptamer", at positions 1 to 120 of the family's 182-position model. From Rfam's summary of the family: Riboswitches are metabolite binding domains within certain messenger RNAs that serve as precision sensors for their corresponding targets. Allosteric rearrangement of mRNA structure is mediated by ligand binding, and this results in modulation of gene expression. Lineage: Bacteria; Pseudomonadati; Pseudomonadota; Gammaproteobacteria; Pasteurellales; Pasteurellaceae. The record is from RNAcentral.
UACUUGUGUAGAGGAGCGAUCACUAUAAGUAUUUUUCUGAGUGGAUAACGAAGAGGAAAAAGGAAAGGAGUGACCGCCGAAAUCAAUUGAAAGUCAUUUUGAUUGGUUGGUG